GAAACUGUUGAAGCUGAUUCAUACUGAUAUUGCAGCUUGAUAUGCUACAAGAAGAGAAUGAGAAUAUAUUAGAAAAGCUAAGACAAGCAGAGGAAAAACGCCAAGAAGUUGAGGCCAGAGCUAGGGAACUUGAGAAACAGGUUGCUUCUCUUGGAGAAGGUGUAUCCCUGGAAGCUAAACUGCUGAGCAGGAAAGAAGCUGCUUUGCGUCAAAGAGAGGUACACCGAAACAACAGGAUAUUAAUGUGGCAG
This is a long non-coding RNA of Cajanus cajan (pigeon pea), 251 nucleotides long. RefSeq lists it as uncharacterized. Lineage: Eukaryota; Viridiplantae; Streptophyta; Magnoliopsida; Fabales; Fabaceae. The record is from RefSeq and is a predicted model, not a curated record.